UGUUACGAUUACAUGCUCGAAAUGAAGGC
Molecule: non-coding RNA, 29 nt
Filed under: Bombyx mori (domestic silkworm)
Lineage: Eukaryota; Metazoa; Arthropoda; Insecta; Lepidoptera; Bombycidae
Source: RNAcentral